Molecule: long non-coding RNA, 329 nt
Organism: Mya arenaria
Lineage: Eukaryota; Metazoa; Mollusca; Bivalvia; Myida; Myidae
Exons: 3
Source: RefSeq, a predicted model, not a curated record
GAGCAGACUUGACUGUAUUCCUGAUUCUUAUAUGACAAGGGACGCCUACUGGCAAAAUGUGGUCCAGACGAAAAGGCAGAUGUCGUUUGAAGUUAAAAAACCGAUAAGGUGGAUUGCUAUAGACACAACAAUUGGAAUAAUAACUGCUUUUUGUUAUGUCAAAACGGCAACGUAGUUGAAUCCCUGAAACCGCUUGAACGAGUCUAUUCUGCAACUAAAGGAUAAGCAGGCUGUUACGAGCAUCCGCCCAACACCGAAUCUCUGAGCUCGAGAUCACAUGAGGCAUUUUGUGGUACGAUGUGGCUAAUAACAACAACAGGUAGAUAUCA